Molecule: ribosomal RNA, 520 nt
Filed under: uncultured Glomus
Lineage: Eukaryota; Fungi; Glomeromycota; Glomeromycetes; Glomerales; Glomeraceae
Description: SSU rRNA
Rfam family: Eukaryotic small subunit ribosomal RNA
Source: RNAcentral
AGCAGCCGCGGUAAUUCCAGCUCCAAUAGCGUAUAUUAAAGUUGUUGCAGUUAAAAAGCUCGUAGUUGAAUUUCGAGACCGGCUUACUGGUCGUGCUAUUGUACGUACUGGUAUAAUCGGUUUCUCCUUUCUGACGAACUUUAAUGCCAUUAAUUUGGUGUUUUAGGGAAUCAGGACUGUUACUUUGAAAAAAUUAGAGUGUUUAAAGCAGGCUCACGCUUGAAUACAUUAGCAUGGAAUAACGGAAUAGGACGUUUGAUUCUAUUUUGUUGGUUUCUAGGAUCGACGUAAUGAUUAAUAGGGAUAGUUGGGGGCAUUAGUAUUCAAUUGUCAGAGGUGAAAUUCUUGGAUUUAUUGAAGACUAACUACUGCGAAAGCAUUUGCCAAGGAUGUUUUCAUUAAUCAAGAACGAAAGUUAGGGGAUCGAAGACGAUCAGAUACCGUCGUAGUCUUAACCAUAAACUAUGCCGACUAGGGAUCGGAUGAUGUUAAUUUUUAAUGACUCAUUCGGCGCCUUACG